CAGCAGCCGCGGUAAUACAGAGGGUGCGAGCGUUAAUCGGAUUUACUGGGCGUAAAGCGUGCGUAGGCGGCUUCUUAAGUCGGAUGUGAAAUCCCUGAGCUUAACUUAGGAAUUGCAUUCGAUACUGGGAAGCUAGAGUAUGGGAGAGGAUGGUAGAAUUCCAGGUGUAGCGGUGAAAUGCGUAGAGAUCUGGAGGAAUACCGAUGGCGAAGGCAGCCAUCUGUCCUAAUACUGACGCUGAGGUACGAAAGCAUGGGGAGCAAACAGGAUUAGAGACCCCGGUAGUCCCUGUCUCUUAUAC
Molecule: ribosomal RNA, 301 nt
Filed under: uncultured bacterium
Lineage: Bacteria
Description: partial 16S ribosomal RNA
Rfam family: Bacterial small subunit ribosomal RNA
Source: RNAcentral